UACGUAGGUGGCGAGCGUUGUCCGGAUUUAUUGGGCGUAAAGAGCCCGCAGGCGGCUCGUUAAGUUUCAGGUGAAAUCUCCCGGCUCAACUGGGAGAGGUCCUGGAAAACUGACGAGCUUGAGGCAGGGAGAGGGAUGUGGAAUUCCCGGUGUAGUGGUGAAAUGCGUAGAUAUCGGGAGGAACACCAGUGGCGAAGGCGGCAUCCUGGCCCUGUCCUGACGCUCAGGGGCGAAAGCGUGGGGAGCAAACCGG
RNAcentral lists this ribosomal RNA (253 nucleotides) under uncultured bacterium. RNAcentral describes it as "partial 16S ribosomal RNA". It matches the Rfam family "Bacterial small subunit ribosomal RNA", at positions 524 to 776 of the family's 1533-position model. The record is from RNAcentral.